RNAcentral lists this unclassified non-coding RNA (785 nucleotides) under Hevea brasiliensis (rubber tree). Lineage: Eukaryota; Viridiplantae; Streptophyta; Magnoliopsida; Malpighiales; Euphorbiaceae. The record is from RNAcentral.
ACUAACAAAUAUAAUGAACAUAUGGAGGUGAAGAAACACUUGCUCAUGUUUAUAAUGGCUACUAAUAGUCUAACACAACUAGCUUCUAUAUAUGGUUUAACCUUCCUCAUUUCAUGGGUCCUAAUAAUGUUUUCUACUUACUAAGAUUUCCUAUUUUUUGGAGGCCUAUGACAAUGUCAAUGGUAAAUGGGGGAAGAAAGGGAUAAACAAAAUUCAAAGCACCCAUUAAGCCCUUGCUAAAAGACACCAAAUAAUAUACUCAACAGCCCAAAGUUCAAUAAGUUUUUGUGCCCUAAUAUUUAUAGGGUAACCAUUUAAAUUAUUUAAGCGAGAAAUUCUAAUGAGGAAAGCAAAGGCACACUUCCCAAAUUUCCUCCUCUAACAAGCACUUUCAUUGAAAAAUACAUCGCUGGCCACCUAACUUGGAACUUGUUGAUCUAUCAGAUUCCACCGUUGAAGAGUUAGAAAGUCACCAGAAUUGCCAUUGCUGUUGCUGGAAUCUUGCCGGGCCACCACUCCUAGAAAUGCCAACUUCCAAUACUUGGAUUUCCAGCAUCUAGACACCUUAAAUUAUUAUCCUCAUGCAUUGUUUUAGGUUCUCUCUCAUUCCCUUUCCCCUCUUCCCUUUCCCAACUUGGCUACUCUAUUUCUAGUUUACCCCUUUUUUUCUUUUUCUCUUUUAAUUACAACAAUACUAAAACAUUUCAAAGAAGUGUUGUUUUCAUCUUUGUUUUAGACAACAAGCUCCCAAUAUGAUAUCUCCAAAAAAAAAGAGCCCUUUUUGG